AGCUUACUGACUAGAACUAAAGCCUGUUGCACUGGGUUUGCAGGUCUCUCUUAUAGUUCAUAAAAACUGGUUGAUAUUGAUGACUAUGUUAAUUCUGCCAGUGAUGAAUUGAAUCUUGUUUUGUGGUGGGUGCAGAAGCCCAUGGGAAGAUCAAUGAGUGUACAGAUGAUUUUAUAUCAGUUUCAAAUUAUCCAUUGAAUGCAAAAGGCUGCAUAGGGUUGAUUUGCGAGUCGUUGGAGCAUAAAUGGAAGAUCUUUUGAGUCAUAUAUAUCUAAGUUAUUAAAUACUAAUUAAGGUUUGUACAAGCGCCGAAGAUAUCUAAACAUGAGUAUUACUUCAAAAAAAAAAAAAAAAAAAAAAGGAUGGUUAUUCAAUUUGAUGAAGUCAAUUUCUUCGACACUGAAAGGUAGAGGCCAGCACAAUACUAGUCAAGCCAAGUUGAGCUGAUUUCCAUCACUGCCGAAAAUAACUAACUUGUUGAUUGUCGUCAUCAGUUCUCUUCUCGGUGUCAAAUGCAUCUAUCAGGAUGGUCAAAGUUGUAUUAAUUCGUGUACUCAUUUAAGUUCCUUCUCGAUCAGUGAGAUUAUGAUAAAAGGAAUCCCGGUUAACAAGAACAACACGCUGAUCAUGAAGCUUCUGUAUAAUCUUAUCGCAAACUGUAGUCUUACCAGAAGCUGCCCUACCAGCUAAACGAACCCAUGUUCAGAGAUACAGAGAA
Molecule: long non-coding RNA, 718 nt
Organism: Malus domestica (apple)
Lineage: Eukaryota; Viridiplantae; Streptophyta; Magnoliopsida; Rosales; Rosaceae
Source: RefSeq, a predicted model, not a curated record